Molecule: ribosomal RNA, 557 nt
Filed under: uncultured Mesorhizobium sp.
Lineage: Bacteria; Pseudomonadati; Pseudomonadota; Alphaproteobacteria; Hyphomicrobiales; Phyllobacteriaceae
Description: bacterial SSU rRNA
Rfam family: Bacterial small subunit ribosomal RNA
Source: RNAcentral
ACGGGUGAGUAACGCGUGGGAAUCUACCCAUCUCUACGGAACAACUCCGGGAAACUGGAGCUAAUACCGUAUACGUCCUUCGGGAGAAAGAUUUAUCGGAGAUGGAUGAGCCCGCGUUGGAUUAGCCAGUUGGUGGGGUAAAGGCCUACCAAGGCGACGAUCCAUAGCUGGUCUGAGAGGAUGAUCAGCCACACUGGGACUGAGACACGGCCCAGACUCCUACGGGAGGCAGCAGUGGGGAAUAUUGGACAAUGGGCGAAAGCCUGAUCCAGCCAUGCCGCGUGAGUGAUGAAGGCCCUAGGGUUGUAGAGCUCUUUCAACGGUGAAGAUAAUGACGGUAACCGUAGAAGAAGCCCCGGCUAACUUCGUGCCAGCAGCCGCGGUAAUACGAAGGGGGCUAGCGUUGUUCGGAAUUACUGGGCGUAAAGCGCACGUAGGCGGAUACUUAAGUUAGGGGUGAAAUCCCAGAGCUCAACUCUGGAACUGCCUUUAAUACUGGGUAUCUCGAGUCCGGAAGAGGUGAGUGGAAUUCCGAGUGUAGAGGUGAAAUUCGUAGA